This 497-nucleotide ribosomal RNA is filed under the name uncultured bacterium. Its description in RNAcentral is "bacterial SSU rRNA". It matches the Rfam family "Bacterial small subunit ribosomal RNA", at positions 24 to 518 of the family's 1533-position model. The record is from RNAcentral.
UCAGGAUGAACGCUGGCGGCGUGCUUAAUACAUGCAAGUCGAACGAAGCACUUAUGACAGAUCCCCUCGGGGUGAAGACGUUGUGACUGAGUGGCGGACGGGUGAGUAACGCGUGGGUAACCUGCCUUAUGCAGGGGGACAACAGUUGGAAACGACUGCUAAUACCGCAUAAGCGCACGGCACCGCAUGGUGCAGUGUGAAAAGAUUUAUCGGCAUAAGAUGGACCCGCGUCUGAUUAGGUAGUUGGUGAGGUAACGGCCCACCCAAGCCGACGAUCAGUAGCCGACUUGAGAGAGUGAUCGGCCACAUUGGGACUGAGACACGGCCCAGACUCCUACGGGAGGCAGCAGUAGGGAAUAUUGCACAAUGGGGGAAACCCUGAUGCAAGCGACGCCGCGUGAGUGAUGAAGUAUUUCGGUACGUAAAGCUCUAUCAGCAGGGAAGAUAAUGACGGUACCUGACUAAGAAGCCCCGGCUAACUACGUGCCAGCCGCCGC